Molecule: long non-coding RNA, 1002 nt
Filed under: Phoenix dactylifera (date palm)
Lineage: Eukaryota; Viridiplantae; Streptophyta; Magnoliopsida; Arecales; Arecaceae
Description: long non-coding RNA (PDAC_LNC016440)
Source: RNAcentral
AUAAAAUUGGAAGUAACUAACUCUAUAUCUAUUCAAGGACCAAUCAUUUAAUUGCCUGGAGGUUUUUAGUCAAUAGCACUUGCCUUCUGUUCUUUUUUUCUUUUUUUUUUGCUAAAGCGGGUGUUUCAUACGGUUCGAGUACGGAUACACCCAAUAAAAUUAGAAAACAACAAGUAUUGGAGUGCUCUGGGCAACUCCUCUUCCGGCUAUAAGGUACCCCUGAGUGAUAGACUAUAUAGGAAGCCACCCAGUCUGUGGCCUCAUUGGCUUCUUUGAACACAUGCCUAGCCUGAAAGGUCACAACGUCACUCACCAUAGCCGAAAUAUCCUAAAACAGGGGGUAUCCUCCUCCACCGCCACUUGGGCCACCCUAGAUCCAGCUGAUCACGGUGGCCGAGUCACCCUCCAAUAUAACUGAGCUGGCCUAUAGCACGCGCCGAGCAUGGCUCAGGACGACGCAAGUCGUCCGUAGCUCUGCUCUAGAAACUGAGAUAUCGAAAAUCUGGCAGCCACCAGUAGCCACUACCCUAGAGGUCGAGCCCCUAAUGACAAACCUAACAUUUUCUCUACUGCCGCCGUCUAGCACGGAUCCAUCGAAGUUAACCUUGAGAAAGUUCGGAAGUGGAGGAUCUCAGGUGAAGAACACUGUACCAGGCGCUACUUGAGCAAAAUGGGGCCCCAGGUGUUCCGAGCUAUCAAAGGUCCAUGUGCUAAGCGUACAUGAAUGAUCUUUGCUGCUUGUACCCGAGCGCGCUACACGACGAACCUCGAGGAUGGAUUGCUCUCACUAAAAGUCCGAGCGUUCUUUGCCAACCAAAUCUUGUAAGCUGUGCAAGUCAUCCAAUGGCUACCUGAUGCAUCUGGAGGGUGCCGGACCACCGAUGAACCACCUGUGGGAAAGACCCCAUCUGGCUCCAGGCAUCCUGCGGAAUCUCGACGAGCCUUCAAACUCUCCUAGCCCAUACACACUGUAAUAGAACAUGAUCCACCGUCUCGUCCAUU